AUUGAACGCUGGCGGCAGGCCUAACACAUGCAAGUCGAGCGGAUGAAGGGAGCUUGCUCCUGGAUUCAGCGGCGGACGGGUGAGUAAUGCCUAGGAAUCUGCCUGGUAGUGGGGGAUAACGUCCGGAAACGGGCGCUAAUACCGCAUACGUCCUGAGGGAGAAAGUGGGGGAUCUUCGGACCUCACGCUAUCAGAUGAGCCUAGGUCGGAUUAGCUAGUUGGUGGGGUAAAGGCCUACCAAGGCGACGAUCCGUAACUGGUCUGAGAGGAUGAUCAGUCACACUGGAACUGAGACACGGUCCAGACUCCUACGGGAGGCAGCAGUAGGGAAUAUUGGACAAUGGGCGAAAGCCUGAUCCAGCCAUGCCGCGUGUGUGAAGAAGGUCUUCGGAUUGUAAAGCACUUUAAGUUGGGAGGAAGGGCAGUAAGUUAAUACCUUGCUGUUUUGACGUUACCAACAGAAUAAGCAUCGGCUAACUUCGUG
Molecule: ribosomal RNA, 484 nt
Filed under: uncultured bacterium
Lineage: Bacteria
Description: partial 16S ribosomal RNA
Rfam family: Bacterial small subunit ribosomal RNA
Source: RNAcentral